Molecule: ribosomal RNA, 474 nt
Filed under: Nippotaenia decidua
Lineage: Eukaryota; Metazoa; Platyhelminthes; Cestoda; Nippotaeniidea; Nippotaeniidae
Description: SSU rRNA
Rfam family: Eukaryotic small subunit ribosomal RNA
Source: RNAcentral
GUUGUUGCCUGAAAAGUUUUGCAUGGAAUAAUGGAAUAGGACUUCGGUUCUAUUUCGUUGGUUUUCGGAUCCGAAGUAAUGAUCAAAAGAGACAGGCGGGGACGUUUGUAUGGCUGCGCUAGAGGUGAAAUUCAUGGACCGUAGCCAGACAAACUAAAGCGAAAGCAUUCGUCAAGCAUGUUUUCAUUGGCCAUGAGCGAAAGUCAGAGGCUCGAAGACGAUCAGAUACCGUCCUAGUUCUGACCAUAACCGAUGCCAACUGACGAUCCGUGGUGGUAGUCUCUCAACCUUCCCCACGGGCAGUCCCCGGGAAACCUUUAAGUCUUUGGGUUCCGGGGGAAGUAUGGUUGCAAAGCUGAAACUUAAAGGAAUUGACGGAAGGGCACCACCAGGAGUGGAGCCUGCGGCUUAAUUUGACUCAACACGGGAAAACUCACCCGGGCCGAACACUAUGAGGAUUGACAGAUUGAUAGC